CAGCAGCCGCGGGAAUACGUAGGUCCCGAGCGUUGUCCGGAUUUAUUGGGCGUAAAGCGAGCGCAGGCGGUUAGAUAAGUCUGAAGUUGAAGGCUGUGGCUUAACCAUAGUACGCUUUGGAAACUGUUUAACUUGAGUGCAAGAGGGGGGAGUGGAAUUCCAUGUGUAGCGGUGAAAUGCGUAGAUAUAUGGAGGAACACCGGUGGCGAAAGCGGCUCUCUGGCUUGUAACUGACGCUGAGGCUCGAAAGCGUGGGGAGCAAACAGGAUUAGAUACCCCGGUAGUCCCUGUCUCUUAUACA
Molecule: ribosomal RNA, 301 nt
Filed under: uncultured bacterium
Lineage: Bacteria
Description: partial 16S ribosomal RNA
Rfam family: Bacterial small subunit ribosomal RNA
Source: RNAcentral